Molecule: ribosomal RNA, 403 nt
Filed under: bacterium
Lineage: Bacteria
Description: partial 16S ribosomal RNA
Rfam family: Bacterial small subunit ribosomal RNA
Source: RNAcentral
UGGGGAAUAUUGCACAAUGGGGGAAACCCUGAUGCAGCGACGCCGCGUGAACGAAGAAGGUAUUCGUAUCGUAAAGUUCUGUCCUAUGGGAAGAUAAUGACAGUACCAUAGAAGAAAGCUCCGGCUAAAUACGUGCCAGCAGCCGCGGUAAUACGUAUGGAGCGAGCGUUGGCCGGAAUUAUUGGGCGUAAAGGGUACGCAGGCGGUUUAAUAAGUCGAAUGUUAAAGAUCGGGGCUCAACCCCGCAAAGCAUUGGAAACUGAUAAACUUGAGUAGUGGAGAGGAAAGUGGAAUUCCUAGUGUAGUGGUGAAAUACGUAGAUAUUAGGAGGAAUACCAGUAGCGAAGGCGACUUUCUGGACACAAACUGACGCUGAGGUACGAAAGCGUGGGGAGCAAACAGG